Molecule: ribosomal RNA, 460 nt
Filed under: uncultured bacterium
Lineage: Bacteria
Description: partial 16S ribosomal RNA
Rfam family: Bacterial small subunit ribosomal RNA
Source: RNAcentral
CCUACGGGAGGCAGCAGUGAGGAAUAUUGGUCAAUGGGCGCGAGCCUGAACCCGCCAAGCCGCGUGAAGGAUGACUGCCCUACGGGUUGUACACUUCUUUUAUCAAGAAAUAAAUUGCGUCUCGUGUGCCUUUUUGUAUGUCCUUUAUGCAUCAGGAUCGGCUAACUCCGUGCCAGCAGCCGCGGGACUACGGAGUCUCCGAGCGUUAUCCGGAUUUCUUGGGGUUAAAGGGAGCGUAGAUGGGUUGUUAAGUCAGUUGUGAAAGUUGGGGGAGCAAACGUAAAAGUGCAAUGGAUACUGGCAGCCUUGAGUACAGUUGAGGGAGGCGGAAUUCGAGGUGUAGCGGUGAAAGGCUUAGAUAUCACGAAGAACUCCGAUUGCGAAGGCAGCCUACUAAACUGCCACUGACAUUGAUGCUCGAAAGUGUGGGUAUCAAACAGGAUUAGAUACCCGAGUAGUC